ACAACUAUUCGAAUGGAAGUUCUUCUGUGUGUACAUAGUUAUCGAAUUAAAUAUUGAACAAAUAAUAGGUAUUUGUAAAUAUAAUAAUCUUGAAGCCUGCCUUAUUAUUAGAUAUCUGUUUUAAUAGUAGUUUAGGGUAGAGGUAGAUAAGGAUCCCAAAAGUACCUAAGUUCUGAUACAAUCAGAGGUAUGGUGAAUUGGUGAUAAAUUAUGAACUUACGCCAAAGGUGACGUAAAUAAGUUUCACAUUAUCUUGAAAACCAAACCGUGCCGACCCAAUCAAACAUUUUUUGACGAGAUAUUUUUUUCAACAAGAUUUGGAAGACAUUCAAUGCUUGGUUGGACUUAUGAAGCGCAAAAGACUCUUAACCUCUUAGCGUAAGGGUGCCCAGUGAUUGAGAAAUUGGUCGGUGUGCUGCGGAACGGAAGGCGAUUGGGGCAACCACCGUUCUACACGCCCUAUCUAUGGAGUAAUGGCGUUUACUCCACCGACAAGAGCGCAGCUCUUAAAUAGAGAGAGAGAGAGAGAGAAUUAUUUUUUGAAAAGCAACUGAUUCGAUUUGGUCUCUUAUUAUGUACUAAGUAUUAUAUAAGUAAUUCAAUUAAGUAACUUUGUUUUUCAAGUACUCUGCAAAUACUACGCUACAUUAAGAUUUUCGAGACAAGCAUCAACACUUUUCAUCACUUACUCAAUUCGUUCAAUACACUUGAUUAUCUUAAUAAGUAAUAAAACUUCAAC
Pectinophora gossypiella (pink bollworm) is the source of this 739-nucleotide long non-coding RNA. RefSeq lists it as uncharacterized. The record is from RefSeq and is a predicted model, not a curated record. The transcript has 3 exons. Lineage: Eukaryota; Metazoa; Arthropoda; Insecta; Lepidoptera; Gelechiidae.